Molecule: long non-coding RNA, 4907 nt
Organism: Pongo pygmaeus (Bornean orangutan)
Lineage: Eukaryota; Metazoa; Chordata; Mammalia; Primates; Hominidae
Exons: 3
Source: RefSeq, a predicted model, not a curated record
UGGGGCCAGGGCCGGGGCCGGGGCCGGGGCCGGGCCGGGGAGGGGCGGGCACGGCGCAGCGCCGCCUCCCGUUCGCCUCUGCGCCUGGCCCAGCGACUGCGGGCGCUGCGGUCCACUGGGUCCGCCUCUUCCCGGCAUGGGUUUCUGCCCAGCUCACCCGCUGUCAGCUGGGGUCCUGCUCUGGUGGGAGGAAGAGGCUCAGACGCUUCCCUGCCCUCUCGCCUCAACCACCUCGCGGCAGCGGCUCCCAGGAUGUGCACUUUGACUACUAAAGCUGAGCCGGCGCCGCCACGGCCUUGGGCGGGUGGUCGGCCUCUGCCCUGAGCAGGAAGUAGAAAGUCUCAGCAGACCCUUCCUGAGGGCCGAGCAACAGUGUAGUGGUGUAUUCCACAUAGCAAACAGGUAAGCAGCAUUUACCGUGUGCUGGAUUCUGUUCUCACUGCUGUUGCUAUUCCUAAUCUACGGAGGAGGGAAACUGAGGCACGGCCAGCGGUGAUGCAACUUGUUCGAGGAGACACAGACAAUCAUUGCCUGACUUCGCAAUUGAAAUGAUAGUGUCCACUGAAGCGACUGGUGGCGUAGUUUUCCAGGAUAAAACUAGAACAGAAAGGAAGAAAUAUAAAAACAGAGAAGGGGAAAUAUUUGAAGAUAUAAUGGAGAUAAAUUUCAAGGUAGAAAAAAACCUUCAGAUUGAAAAGGUUUAUCUCAAGCAAAAUAUUUCUAUAUGUAAGUAUUUAAAAGCAUAACUUUGAACUUAUUUUCUAUUAAGCCAUAUUGUCAUUAGAAUGUGAGAAUGUAUUAAUAAUAAAAAUAUUCUUAUGAAAGAUUCAUUUGAAUGACAUUCUUGGAGGACAUAAUCAAACAAGAAGAGAAACAAAUUCAGGAGAUGAUACAAUAGAUACUGCAUGAGAGUGGCCAAAUAUUUAGGCUGAAUUUGUUGUUGUGUUAGAAAAAAGGCCAGGAACCACCCAAGUGUCCAGGAACUGGUGGGUGGCUAUACAUAACUGUGAUGCAUCUAUACAAUGAAAUACAACUAAGCAUUAAGAAGGAACAAACUUCUUACAUAUGCAAAAACAUGGAUGAUCUGAAAUGCAUGUUAAGUGAAAAAAAGUCAGAUAUAAUAAGCUACUCUAUGAUUCCAUUUAUGUGACAUUCUGGAAAAGGCAGAAAAUAGAUCAAUGGUUGUCAGGUGCUGGGGGUGAAGGGAAUCUGGAGAAACUUUCUGAAGUGAUGGAAAUAUUCCAUUAUCUUGAGAAUGGUACUGAUGACCCAGUGGUAUCUGUUUGUCAAAAUUUGUAGAACUGUACGCUAGAAAAGGUGAAUUUUAUUGUAUGUAAACUGUAUUUCAUUAAACCUGACUUACAAAAACUCUUUUCAAAAGUCUAGAAACAAAGAACAGUAUAUUUAUGACUCAGACCUAAAAUUAUAGACAAUAUCAAUAUUGUGAGGGGUGUGGGGCUCAGGAAUGAGAGGCCAAAGUGAUAGGACAGUGAUCUAAGAUAGUGCCAUUCAAAGGGUGGUUCACAAAAAUUAAUGGUUCUCAAAGAGAUAAGGAGCUUGUACCAGAAUGCAUAUCAGCUAUGUCAUAAGCAAACUCUUUGAUUCAGCUGACACUUUCGUAGCAAGACUUUCUCAAUGAAGGAAGCUGUGUGUUGAUUUACAUUCGGGCUCAAAUCUCAUUCUGGAAUGGAUGAGAUAAGUAACCCAGUACUACUUAGAGUACUUAGAGUAGUACUGGGUUAAAUUACUAUCAUAUGGGAGGAAGACGAAAAAAAUUGUUAACUUUAAUAAAUCAAUAAGGAUAAAUAUUUGUGAAUGUAGGUCUUAAGGGUAACUACCAUUAAAAAAGAAUAAAACAUGUAACUUUUAAAGCAGUGGAAGAAAAUUUUAUUGAAUGAAAGGCAAGAGAGCAGAGGAAAAAGGAAUAAAAAGAAAGUGUAAUAAUUAGAGUAUAUGAAAUUUGAUAGCAGAAAUAAAAUUACUAAUAAUAAUUUUUACUUUCAGAGUACCUAAUAUGUUCCAGAUACUUUUCUGUGUGUUUCUUAUUUGAUCCUCAUAAUAAUCUUAUGAGAAGGUACUAUUACUUUCAUCAUCCUCAUUUUAUAGAUGACGAAACUGAGAUUAAUUAACUUGCUAGAAAGUGGCAGAACCAAGGCCUGAACCCAGGUGGUCGGGAUCUAGAACCCAUGCUUAGAACCAUACUUAGAGCUAUUCUAUGCUGCCUCCUAAAUAGAGCAGCAAUUACAAUAAACGUAAGUGGCUUAAACUAACCAAUUAAAAAAAACAGUCUUUCAAAUUGAAUGAAAGCAAGGGAUUCAGCAAUAUGUUUUCUACAAGAAACUUGUGUAAAACAAAUAGACACUAAAAGGUUAAAAGGCUUGAAAAGGAUAUAGCACAAACGUGAAUCAAAGAAAGCUCAUGUAGUAAUUUUAAAACCUGACAAAAUAAAAGUUAAGAUAGAAAGUUCAUAAGGGAGGUCAUAACUGUGCCCAACAAUACAGCUUUAAUAUUUAUUAAGCAGCAGCUAACAGAAGUUUAGGCAGAAACAGAUAAAUCAGAAUUAUAGUUGGAGAUUUUUAACUAGCUCCUCUCAGUAUCCAAUAGAUCAAGUAGACAGUAGAUACUUCCUCUCCUCUCCCAACACACAUACACACAGAAAACAAAUAUACAAGUUCUGGACAAUUUAAUUAAUAAACUUGAGCCAUUAGAUAUUUAUAACUCAUAUACAUUUCCAUCAAACAGUGAAUACAUGUUCUUUCUCUUUUCAGGUACAUGUGAAACAUUAAAGUAAAAACAUAAACUGUGUAUUAGAUCUUAAAGGAAGGCUCAAUAAAUUUCACAGUGCAAUAAAAUUAGAAGUAAUGAAUAACAGUAUGUGUGGUGGACAGAUUUUAAGGCCCCUAUGAUUUCCAUCUCCUGGUGUUUACACCCUUAUGUAGUUCCCUUCUUUGGAUAUGGGUGGGACCUGUACCUUUCAACCAAUUAUGAUGGUUAAUUUUAUGUAUUAUUUUGAAUAGAUCAGCCAUAGGAUAUCCAGAUAUUUGGUCAAACAUUAUUCUGGGUAUUUCUGUGAGUGUGUUUCUGGAUGAGAUUAGCAUUUAAAUUGGUGGACUGAGUAAAGCAGCUUUCCCUCCCUAAUGUGUAUGGGCCUCAUCCAAUCAGUUGAAGGCCUGAAUAGAAAAAAAGGCUGACUCUACUACCCUAGUAAGAGGAUUCUCCUGCCUGAUGGCCUUAGAACUGGGAUAUUGGCUGUCCAUCUACAGCAUCCUACUGGUCUUUGGACUUGAACUGGAACAUUGACAUUUCCUGGUUCUACAGCAGCUUCCAGCCUUUGGACUUAAAUUGGAACACUGGUUUUGCAGAUUUUGGACUUGCCAGCCUCCAUAAUCCCAUGAGAGUCAAUUCAUUAUAAUAAAUCUCUUUAUAAUUUCUAUCUGUCUGUCUAUCUUAUCUAUCAAUCAUCCAUCCAUCCGUCCUAUUGGUUCUGCUUCUCUGGAGACCCCUAAUACACCAAAAAAAUACAGUAAAUGUGAUGGAAAGUCAUUCCCAUGAUUACAUGACAUUAAAAAAGAAAGAGAACCUGGUUAGAUUGUGCCCAGACUCCUGACCAACAGAAACUAUAAGAUAAUAAAUGCAUGUUGUUUUAAGUCACUACAUUUGUGGUAAUUUUUCAUGUACAAUAAAUAAUACAGCAGAUGUAUUAGUUCAUUCUUGCAUUACUAUAAAGAAAUACCCAAGACUGGGUAAUUUAUAAAGAAAAGAGUUUUAAUUGGCUCACAGUUCUGCAUGCUAUACAGGAAGUUUAGUGGCUUCUGCUUCUUGGGAGGCCUCAGGAAACUUACAUUCAUGGUGGAAGGUGAAGGGGAAGCAGGCAUGUCUUACACGGCUGGAGCAGGAGAGAGACAUGGGGGAGGUGCAACAUACUUUUAAAUGACCAGAUCCCACAAUAACUCACUAUUAUGAGAACAGCACUGAGGGGAUGGUGCUAACCCAUUCAUGAGAACUCAGCCCCUAUGAUCCAAUCACCUCCCACCAAGCCCAGCUUUCAAUACUGGGGAUUACAAUUUGACAUGAAAUUUGAGUGGAGACACAGACCCAAACCAUAUCAGCAGAAUAGCAAAAAACAAAACCCACAAACAAACAGAAACCAAAAACUACCCAAACCUCAUUUGGAAACCAAAAAACAUCUUACUAGACAACAUCAUUGAGUCAUAAAGGAAAUUAAGAAAUAUUUAAAAUUGAAUGUUAAUAAAAAUUCUACAUGUCAAAUUGGGACACAGCUAAAGUGCCAGUUAGAUGGAAAUGUAUGCUUAUAUCUAUCAGGAAACAAAAGGUUAAAAUUAAAGUAGCUAAGCAUUCAACACAAGAAGCAAUGGCAUACACAGUGAAACAAGAAGAAAGCCAAUAAUAAAGAUAUGGGCAGAAAUCAGUGACAUAGAGAAAAGUAGAGAAGAUGAAUAAAAGAGAAGUCAGUCCCAUGGAAAAGAUUAAGAAGACCAAACUUUGGCAAGACUGAUCAGGAAAAAAGAGGAAAGACUCAAAAUAAGACAGAAUAAUGGAGGAAAUAACAAAAUAUAUUAAAACAUUUAAAAAGUGUUAUGAACCCUAAUAUAUGUAAACCUAGAUGAAAUGGAUAUGUUCCUAAAAAUGUAAAAUGCCAUAAUUGGUGUAAGAAGAAAUAGAGAAUUUGAAUAAACCACUAAGUGUUUGGUAAAUUGAAAUGGCAGCCAAAUAUCUCUCCUAAACUCCCCCACCCCAACUCAGAUCUAGAGGCUUUUAAGGGACUUUUAAGAAAGUUAAUUUGUAUAACAUGCAAGUUGCUCCAGAAAUAGAAAUAGAGCAAAAGUUGCUCAGGUCAUUUUAUGAGGCCAGCGUCAACCUGAUACCAAAAACAAGUAAAGAUUGUA